RNAcentral lists this ribosomal RNA (441 nucleotides) under uncultured bacterium. RNAcentral's name for it is "partial 16S ribosomal RNA". It matches the Rfam family "Bacterial small subunit ribosomal RNA", at positions 338 to 795 of the family's 1533-position model. The record is from RNAcentral.
CCUACGGGAGGCAGCAGUGGGGAAUAUUGCACAAUGGGGGAAACCCUGAUGCAUCGACGCCGCGUGAGUGAAGAAGUAUUUCGGUAUGUAACGCUCUAUCAGCAGGGAAGAAGAAAGACGGUACCUGACUAAGAAGCCCCGGCUAACUACGGGCCAGCAGCCGCGGGAAUACGCAGGGGGCAAGCGUUAUCCGGAGUUACUGGGUGUAAAGGGAGCGUAGGAGGUUGUGCAAGUCUGAAGUGAAAGCCCAGGGCUCAACCCUGGGACUGCUUUGGAAACUGGGGAGCUAGAGUGCUGGAGAGGUAAGUGGAAUUCCAAGUGUAGCGGUGAAAUGCGUAGAUAUUAGGAGGAACACCAGUGGCGAAGGCGGCUUACUGGACAGUAACUGACGUUGAGGCUCGAAAGCGUGGGGAGCAAACAGGAUUAGAUACCCUAGUAGUC